RNAcentral lists this ribosomal RNA (253 nucleotides) under uncultured bacterium. RNAcentral's name for it is "partial 16S ribosomal RNA". It matches the Rfam family "Bacterial small subunit ribosomal RNA", at positions 524 to 776 of the family's 1533-position model. The record is from RNAcentral.
UACGUAGGUGGCAAGCGUUGUCCGGAUUUACUGGGCGUAAAGAGCGCGCAGGCGGUCGUGCAAGUCGCGUGUGAAAGCCCCCGGCUCAACUGGGGAGGGUCACGCGAUACUGCUCGACUCGAAGGCAGGAGAGGGAAGUGGAAUUCCCGGUGUAGUGGUGGAAUGCGUAGAUAUCGGGAGGAACACCAGUGGCGAAGGCGGUUGCCUGCAGCUUUGCUGACGCUGAUGCGCGAAAGCGUGGGGAGCGAUCCGG